This is a long non-coding RNA of Loxodonta africana (African savanna elephant), 5237 nucleotides long. RefSeq lists it as uncharacterized. NCBI's taxonomy places the organism in Eukaryota, Metazoa, Chordata, Mammalia, Proboscidea, Elephantidae. The transcript is spliced from 9 exons. The record is from RefSeq and is a predicted model, not a curated record.
GCUGAGGCCCCCUUCCCGUGAGCCACAGGAGGGAAACGAAAGACGCGGCCCUCCGGCUGUUUGAGGGGUCGCCGAGCGCUGGCGUAACCUUCUGUCAACUUGCGGCCUCAGGCGAACACGGGCAGGUCGGAGUAACCUGGUUUUCCAAGAACAGUUCGCUCCCCAGAAUCGUUGCUGGAUGUUCCGUCUCGGUCCGUUUCCCCUGGAUCCGCCCCGUUGCAGGUGCCCCACCUGACCGCAGGUCGCUGCCGGCAGACCUAGAUCGCGCUUGGGAACGAUACGCUGAACCCACGUGACCAGUGUCAGUUCAGCUGAAGAGGCGCCCCCCCCCACAGACGGGCGUUCUUUCCACCCUUCACCCCACUUAUGCUGGCCUUAGAUGUAGUCGAUUGGAUUCCUGUGUAUUCCAUCUGGUGAUGUCCACAUGUAUAGUCGCCAUUUGUGUUCUGAGAUCAGAAAGGGAAACUGAAGUUUGACAUGGUCAAGUGACUUUCCCAAGAUAAUGACUACUGGACGGUUGAUGGAGCCGGAUUUUCAGCUAGGCCCGACUUCUCACACUCUUAACUGGGAGAGUAUGGCUAUUCCAUUUAUAUGCUAAUAAUUUUUUUUUUUAAUGGGUAGAAUCAUUCUGGAACUUAAUAGUAUGUAUUAGAAUCCUUUAAAAGCUGCAUCUCCUUUGUUCCACUUGUCUUUCAGUUAACAAACAUCUGUGUAGUACUUACUGUGUGCCAUGUACUGCUCUAAGCAUUUUUAAAAUAUUAAAAAUGAAUGUUUCUGGCAACACUAUCAGGUAAGUAUUUUAUAGAAAAGCAAAUUGAGACGUUCAGAAGCUAAGUGAUUUUCCCAAAGUCACACAGCUCAUCAUGCAUGAAGCUCGGUUGUGGCUGCAGGGUGGGUGCCCUUAAUUGCUACACCAUUCAGUUGUUCUAAUUUUAGGAAUUAGCUCUUGAGAAGUAAUCAUACAUAUGCACAAGAAGAUAUCAUUAUAGCUCUGGUGACCUAACUGAAAAUGUGGAAAGAAUUGUCUAAUAAAGGAAUUUGGAAAAUCCAAAUGGCACUCUGUAACCAUUAAAUAUUUUCUAGUAGAAGUAGUAGUAGUAGUAUUUUCUAGUAGAAGAAGCAAGUAUUAAUAACAUCAUAUUUAUGAUAUGCUGAUUGGUAAUGACAGUAAGUGAAAUAAUAUUAUAGUAUAUCUAAUUUUUAUUUUUAAAAAUACACAUUUACAUAUAGGCACAGAAAACAGACCAGGCAAAUACAGGAACAAUAAAAGUGAACAAUGGUUUCUGGGUGAUGAGGUUCUCUGUGAUUUUUUUUUCUUCAACCUAUCAGUAAUUUCCUUUUUUGACAAUGAAAGUAUUUUUCUUUUAUUAAAUAUCAGUUUUUGAUUAAAAAUAACCUAAAAGAAUUGUAAUAAAGCAUCUCUGGGGUAUUUUUGACAGUGGGAGAUUCUUAAAGUUUGGAACAAACUUUAAGUGGAAAUCCCUGGCCCAUCCUUUCUGAUUCAGGCUAAAAAGCAAGAAAGGUUACUUGAUAUGCUUUAAAGCAGAUUUUGUGUGAUCUUUUUUUUUUUUAGUGAACAGCCCCUAAUUUAUGAAUUUGGAAAUCAUUGCCUUAGACCCAUCAAUAUGACAAAUCAUUUAACUCCUCUUGGUACAUCUCCAGGUUACACUGAAGAUGUUUAUGAUUCCAGGAUAGAGUGAUGGUUAAGAGCCAGGUUCCCAGGAUCAGACUGCUGUAGGUUCCACUUCUCAAUCUGCUACUUACUCCAGAGUGCUGCCUUCUCACCUCCGUUGGAAGUUUGGGCUCUAGCCUGCUCCAGAAGGACAGACAAGUGCCUUGGGACCAGGUGACGGCUUUUGGAAGAGCAGGUUAAAUGGGAUUUAUGAAGAACAGGCUUUGACUCCAACCUCUGAAAAAGCUUCAAUUCAAUGGAACUAAUGGAACUUUGGUUUCUGGAAUUAGAUCCUGUUAUCAAUGACUUCCACAUGUUGAUCUCAUCAUUCCUACUGCAUGUGGGCUUUCUGCUUGUGUUAGAGAACAUGGUCACCAGCAGCUCUGGGCUAACAUCAAUCCGAAUGAAUGACCCAGAAAGAAAGUGUCUCUUGCCUAGCCUCAGUCUAGAAGGACUCUGAUUGUCCCACCAAGGAUUACUCACUUAUUCCUGGGCCAAUCAUUGUGGCCACAAGCAUGAUAACUGGCCCAGUCUGGGCCAUGGGGCCAGCAGUGGCACACUACUGUGAUGGGCAGUGCUUCCAGAAACACACAGUUGUGGUGGAGGAGAAGCAGGUUCUCAAAGGAAGAAGGUUGUUGGGUAGACCAAAAGAAAAAAUCUCGUAGUCUACCAAGACAACUAUCCACAAGCUAACAUGGAGAAAAGGGGCAUUCCAAGCAGAAGGAAGAGAUUGAACAAAGCCAAGAAGAGGUGGUUAAAGAAAUAACCUAAAAGAAACAUGACUAAGCAGUUAGUUAAAGAAAUCAGAAGAAGAAAAAAAAAAAACAUGGAUGACUUCAAAUUCUGGUAAAGGUUAAAAAAAAAAAAAAAGGUACUCAACUGUAUUAAAUAUAAUGAGUGGUAUUUUUAAUGACAGAAGUUAUUUUAUCAAUUAACCUUUAUUUCAUUUCUUAGUCUCUGGUCUUCAGGUUACAUACUAUGUAUUACAUAACAUCGCGUGCUUUUCCAUCCGUGCCGAAAUGGAAUUGUGGUCAUCUUCCUUCUGUGUUAACAGUGGACUCGUGGCUGUUUUCCACCUGUGCUAACUCAGGGACUAGUGGGUAUCAUGGAUUGAAGUGUGCCCCCCAAAAAUAUGUGUCAACUUAGUUAGGCCAUGAUUCCUAGUAUCGUGUGGUUGUCCUCCAUUUUGUGAUUGUAAUUUUAUGUUAAAGAGGAUUAGGGUGGGAUUGUAACACCCUUACCCAGGUCACAUCCUUGAUCCAACAUAAACGGAGUUUCCGUGGGGUGCGGCCUGCACCACCUUUUAUUUCUCAAGAGAUAAAAAGGAAAGGCAAGUGAUCAGAGAGGGGAACCUCAUACCACCGAAAAAGCAGUGCCAGAAGCAGAGCAUGUCCUUUGGACCCAGGGUCUCUGCACGGAGAAGCUCCUAGUCUGGGGGAAGAUUGAUGGGAAGGCUGACAGAGAGAGAAAGCCUUCCCCUGGAGCUGAAGCCGUGAAUUUGGACUUUUAGCCUGUUUUACUGUGAAGAAGUAAAUUUCUCUUUGUUUAAGCCGUCCAUUUGUGGUAUUUCUGUUAUAACAGCACUAGAUGACAAAGACAGUGGAUAAACCAAAACCCUUUUUAUUUGGUUGAGAUGCCAUCAUUCAUUUGUCCAUUUAGUCAUUCCAUGAUAUGAUUGAGUCCCUACUAGACAUCAGAAACUCUGCUAAGUAUUGAGGCUAUUGGUUUAGAGUAAUAUACAGUAGAGGCUAUAGAAGACAAAGCACUUUUCCUCAAGGAGCUUACAGUAGUUAGGGAGAGACCAAAAGACAAACAAAAAAAGCAAUCAAGCAAAUAAAACAUAAACAAACAAACAUAUCAAGAAAAAAAUAGGUGUUUAAAAUAAAAUACAUUACACCAUAUUCCACACCAUAUCUUAUCAUAAUAUACUUUAUGAUGCCAUAAGAUACAAUAAGUGCUUAUACUAGCAUGCCAUGGGAGCAACAAGUCAAAGCUGAGACCUGGUAGACAACCAGAUGCUGGCUGUUCCUACACACAGAGGAAGGGGGAGAAAAACAAAAGCAUCCCAGCACAAGGGCCAGAGUGUGGCAUGUUCUAGGGGUUCUGCUGCAACGGUUUCCACUUGCUGGAACUUAGAAUGUGACAAAGAAGCAGGAGACAGAAGGCUGGAGAAGUACGCAGCAUCAGAAGGUGAGGCUCUCAUAAACCGUAUUGACAGUUGAGACUAUCCACUGAAUAGUUGGUAUGGGAAGCCUCUGAAGGUUUUCCUGUGGUCAGAUUUGCUCUUCCAGAUGACCGCUGUACUUGCUAUAUGGGUCAAAAGGGGAGGGGGGCUAAAAACAGGGAGAAAAAUUAAAAGGCUGUGAAAUAAUCUGGAGAGAGAUAGUAGUGAACUGAGCUAACAGUAGAUAUGGUGAGGAAAAGAAGUGGACAGAUAGAAGGAACAUCAAAAGGGAGCAUAUACAGCUAUGAGUGAUUGACUACUUGUGUGCAGUGAGAGGAGAGAGGACUCUAGGUGUACCACACAUUUGGGGCAUGGGUUUUUGUUCAUUGUCUUUUCCUCAUAGAAGAGGUGCAAUACUCCACCGCUGUGAUCCACAAAAGGACAUUCUACAGAACAGGUAAUCCUUGAUAAGUGCUGUAGAAAGAAAGGGGCCCUAGGUCAAGUAACGAUGGGAGCAGUACUCAGCAUUUGGGGCAAGGUAUAACACAGACGGCAUGGCGCAUACUGAAGGCUGAGAAAAACUUAACUGUUGUAAAUGGAAAAGUUUCAAACUGGAGGCACUCAUGUCAGACAUAGGAAUGACAGGGCCACCAUGCUUUCCCAGGAAGCACAAGGUCAGGAUGUAAACGAAUUGUUCUUGGGAGGAAUGUGACACAUUGUAAAUGAUUUGUUUCUGGAAAAAAAUACGUUCAUGACUGCGGUCAAGUAUAACCAAACCGGCUGGCACCACUAUCUAGAUGGUAACUCACUCCCUCCUAGCCAAGCGGCCGAGCUUUACAUUUCAAAGGACUCUAAAGCUGAAGCUGAUCUUCUCUAUAAUCAACCAUUAACCCCCUACCUUUCCUUUGUUCUCACUGCUUGAAUGGCAGAGUGCUUUGUAUUUUACUUAGCACUGCCUAGCUCAAGCUGUAUUAUUCCUCAAUAAAACUUUUCUUUCACUCCUAACAGAGUACCAGAUUUCUUCUUUGACACUGUCUUGAGUCCUGAAUUUAUCAAAUUCAUUUGAGCUUGCAGCCAAGUAAAUACAUUUUAGUAAAUGCUGACAUAUGUGUAGAGUAUGGAAUUCAAAGUCAGGAUACCCAACCUCAAUCCCAUCUAGACCACCCCCCAUAAAUCACUUCAGUUCCGUGAACUUCAGUUUCCCAACUUGUAAAAUGAAGACGUUGGGUUAGAUGGUAUCAAAGGUCUCUUUCAGAUCUAAAAUUCCAUUUUAAUCAUGCCAAAUAAUUUGUUGAUCUACUUUGCAUAAGAGACACUUAAGAAGAAAAUAGAUGUCAAAGAAUUAUUUAAGGUAAUCACAAAGAAAUGAUUAUCACACAUACAUUCUGUUUUUAAAUUUUA